Molecule: ribosomal RNA, 492 nt
Filed under: uncultured bacterium
Lineage: Bacteria
Description: partial 16S ribosomal RNA
Rfam family: Bacterial small subunit ribosomal RNA
Source: RNAcentral
AGUGAACGCUGGCGGUAGGCCUAACACAUGCAAGUCGAACGGCAGCACAGUAAGAGCUUGCUCUUACGGGUGGCGAGUGGCGGACGGGUGAGGAAUACAUCGGAAUCUACUUUUUCGUGGGGGAUAACGUAGGGAAACUUACGCUAAUACCGCAUACGACCUACGGGUGAAAGCAGGGGAUCUUCGGACCUUGCGCGAUUGAAUGAGCCGAUGUCGGAUUAGCUAGUUGGCGGGGUAAAGGCCCACCAAGGCGACGAUCCGUAGCUGGUCUGAGAGGAUGAUCAGCCACACUGGAACUGAGACACGGUCCAGACUCCUACGGGAGGCAGCAGUGGGGAAUAUUGGACAAUGGGCGAAAGCCUGAUCCAGCCAUACCGCGUGGGUGAAGAAGGCCUUCGGGUUGUAAAGCCAUUUUGUUGGGAAAGAAAAGCAGCAGGUUAAUACGCCGCUGUUCUGACGGUACCCAAAGAAUAAGCACCGGCUAACUUCGUG